Molecule: ribosomal RNA, 373 nt
Filed under: uncultured bacterium
Lineage: Bacteria
Description: bacterial SSU rRNA
Rfam family: Bacterial small subunit ribosomal RNA
Source: RNAcentral
AGCGAACGCUGGCGGCAGGCCUAACACAUGCAAGUCGAGCGGCCGUAGCAAUACGGCAGCGGCAGACGGGAUAGUAACACGUGGGAACGCGCCCUUCGGUUCGGAAUAACUCAGGGAAACUUGAGCUAAUACCGGAUACGCCUUACGGGAAAGGAUUAUUGCCGAAGGAACGGCCCGCGUCCGAUUAGCUAGUUGGUGAGGUAAUGGCUCACCAAGGCAACGAUCGGUAGCUGGUCNGAGAGGAUGACCAGCAUCACUGGGACUGAGACACGGCCAGACUCCUACGGGAGGCAGCAGUGGGAAUAUUGGACAAUGGGCGCAAGCCUGAUCCAGCCAUGCCGCGUGGAUGAUGAAGGCCUUAGGGUUGUAAAGU